RNAcentral lists this ribosomal RNA (497 nucleotides) under uncultured bacterium. RNAcentral describes it as "partial 16S ribosomal RNA". It matches the Rfam family "Bacterial small subunit ribosomal RNA", at positions 28 to 507 of the family's 1533-position model. The record is from RNAcentral.
GAUGAACGCUGGCGGCGUGCCUAAUACAUGCAAGUCGAGCGAACGGACGAGAAGCUUGCUUCUCUGAUGUUAGCGGCGGACGGGUGAGUAACACGUGGAUAACCUACCUAUAAGACUGGGAUAACUUCGGGAAACCGUAGCUAAUACCGGAUAAUAUUUUGAACCGCAUGGUUCAAAGGUGAAAGACGGUCUUGCUGUCACUUAUAGAUGGAUACGCGCUGCAUUAGCUAGUUGGUAAGGUAACGGCUUACCAAGGCAACGAUGCAUAGCCGACCUGAGAGGGUGAUCGGCCACACUGGAACUGAGACACGGUCCAGACUCCUACGGGAGGCAGCAGUAGGGAAUCUUCCGCAAUGGGCGAAAGCCUGACGGAGCAACGCCGCGUGAGUGAUGAAGGUCUUCGGAUCGUAAAACUCUGUUAUUAGGGAAGAACAUAUGUGUAAGUAACUGUGCACAUCUUGACGGUACCUAAUCAGAAAGCCACGGCUAACUACGUG